This 75-nucleotide transfer RNA is filed under the name Rhodospirillaceae bacterium. RNAcentral describes it as "tRNA-Thr". It matches the Rfam family "tRNA". Rfam says of the family: Transfer RNA (tRNA) molecules are approximately 80 nucleotides in length. Their secondary structure includes four short double-helical elements and three loops (D, anti-codon, and T loops). Further hydrogen bonds mediate the characteristic L-shaped molecular structure. tRNAs have two regions of fundamental functional importance: the anti-codon, which is responsible for specific mRNA codon recognition, and the 3' end, to which the tRNAs corresponding amino acid is attached (by aminoacyl-tRNA synthetases). tRNAs cope with the degeneracy of the genetic code in two manners: having more than one tRNA (with a specific anti-codon) for a particular amino acid; and 'wobble' base-pairing, i.e. permitting non-standard base-pairing at the 3rd anti-codon position. Lineage: Bacteria; Pseudomonadati; Pseudomonadota; Alphaproteobacteria; Rhodospirillales; Rhodospirillaceae. The record is from RNAcentral.
GCCGUCGUAGCUCAGUGGUAGAGCGCGCCAUUGGUAAUGGCGAGGUCGGAAGUUCAAUCCUUCCCGACGGCACCA